Molecule: transfer RNA, 71 nt
Filed under: Marmota monax (woodchuck)
Lineage: Eukaryota; Metazoa; Chordata; Mammalia; Rodentia; Sciuridae
Description: tRNA.Ala
Rfam family: tRNA
About the family: Transfer RNA (tRNA) molecules are approximately 80 nucleotides in length. Their secondary structure includes four short double-helical elements and three loops (D, anti-codon, and T loops). Further hydrogen bonds mediate the characteristic L-shaped molecular structure. tRNAs have two regions of fundamental functional importance: the anti-codon, which is responsible for specific mRNA codon recognition, and the 3' end, to which the tRNAs corresponding amino acid is attached (by aminoacyl-tRNA synthetases). tRNAs cope with the degeneracy of the genetic code in two manners: having more than one tRNA (with a specific anti-codon) for a particular amino acid; and 'wobble' base-pairing, i.e. permitting non-standard base-pairing at the 3rd anti-codon position.
Source: RNAcentral
GGGGCUGUAGCUCAGUGGUAGAGUGCUUGCCUGGCAUGCAUGAGGCCCUGGGUUCGAUCCCCAGCACCACA